AUUGAACGCUGGCGGCAGGCCUAACACAUGCAAGUCGAGCGAGCGGCGGACGGGUGAGUAAUGUCUGGGAAACUGCCUGAUGGAGGGGGAUAACUCCUGGAAACGGUAGCUAAUCCCGCAUCCCACCUGAUGCGCCCCGAAGGGAGUAGCUAGUAGGUGGGGUAAUGGCUCACCUAGCCGACGAGCCCUAGCUGGUCUGAGAGGAUGACCAGCAACACUGGAACGGUGACACGGCCCAGACUCCUACGGUAGGCAGCAGGGGUGAAUAUUGCACAAUGGGCGCAAGCCUGAUGCAGCAAUGCCGCGUGUGUGAAGAAGUCCUUCGGGUUGUAAAGCACUUUCAGCGGGGAGGCGUUACCCGCAGAAGAAGCACCGGCUAACUCCGUGCCAGCAGCCGCGGUAAUUC
RNAcentral lists this ribosomal RNA (406 nucleotides) under uncultured bacterium. Its description in RNAcentral is "partial 16S ribosomal RNA". It matches the Rfam family "Bacterial small subunit ribosomal RNA", at positions 30 to 526 of the family's 1533-position model. The record is from RNAcentral.